AGGGGGCUAGCGUUGCUCGGAAUUACUGGGCGUAAAGGGCGCGUAGGCGGAUAGUUUAGUCAGAGGUAAAAGCCCAGAGCUCAACCUUGGAACUGCCUUUGAUACUGGCUAUCUUGAGUUCGGGAGAGGUGAGUGGAAUGCCGAGUGUAGAGGUGAAAUUCGUAGAUAUUCGGCGGAACACCAGUGGCGAAGGCGACUCACUGGCCCGAUACUGACGCUGAGGCGCGAAAGCGUGGGGAGCAAACAGG
RNAcentral lists this ribosomal RNA (248 nucleotides) under uncultured bacterium. RNAcentral describes it as "partial 16S ribosomal RNA". It matches the Rfam family "Bacterial small subunit ribosomal RNA", at positions 529 to 776 of the family's 1533-position model. The record is from RNAcentral.